RNAcentral lists this ribosomal RNA (445 nucleotides) under uncultured Escherichia sp. RNAcentral describes it as "bacterial SSU rRNA". It matches the Rfam family "Bacterial small subunit ribosomal RNA", at positions 30 to 469 of the family's 1533-position model. The record is from RNAcentral. Lineage: Bacteria; Pseudomonadati; Pseudomonadota; Gammaproteobacteria; Enterobacterales; Enterobacteriaceae.
AUUGAACGCUGGCGGCAGGCCUAACACAUGCAAGCCGAACGGUAACAGGAAACAGCUUGCUGUUUCGCUGACGAGUGGCGGACGGGUGAGUAAUGUCUGGGAAACUGCCUGAUGGAGGGGGAUAACUACUGGAAACGGUAGCUAAUACCGCAUAACGUCGCAAGACCAAAGAGGGGGACCUUCGGGCCUCUUGCCAUCGGAUGUGCCCAGAUGGGAUUAGCUAGUAGGUGGGGUAACGGCUCACCUAGGCGACGAUCCCUAGCUGGUCUGAGAGGAUGACCAGCCACACUGGAACUGAGACACGGUCCAGACUCCUACGGGAGGCAGCAGUGGGGAAUAUUGCACAAUGGGCGCAAGCCUGAUGCAGCCAUGCCGCGUGUAUGAAGAAGGCCUUCGGGUUGUAAAGUACUUUCAGCGGGGAGGAAGGGAGUAAAGUUAAUACCUU